RNAcentral lists this ribosomal RNA (231 nucleotides) under uncultured bacterium. Its description in RNAcentral is "partial 16S ribosomal RNA". It matches the Rfam family "Bacterial small subunit ribosomal RNA", at positions 109 to 334 of the family's 1533-position model. The record is from RNAcentral.
AGUAACACGUGGGUAACCUACCCUGAUGAUCGGGACAACCCGAGGAAACUCGGGCUAAUACCGUAUGUGCCCCUUGACCGCAAGGUCACUUGGGAAAGGAAGCUUCGGCCUCCGCAUCGGGAUGGGCCCGCGGCCCAUUAGCUUGUUGGUGAGGUAACGGCUCACCAAGGCUAUGAUGGGUAGCUGGUCUGAGAGGACGAUCAGCCACACUGGGACUGAGACACGGCCCAG